GACGAACGCUGGCGGCGUGCUUAACACAUGCAAGUCGAACGGAAAGGCCCUGCUUUUGUGGGGUGCUCGAGUGGCGAACGGGUGAGUAACACGUGAGUAACCUGCCCUUGACUUUGGGAUAACUUCAGGAAGCUGGGGCUAAUACCGGAUAGGAGCUCCUGCUGCAUGGUGGGGGUUGGAAAGUUUCGGCGGUUGGGGAUGGACUCGCGGCUUAUCAGCUUGUUGGUGGGGUAGUGGCUUACCAAGGCUUUGACGGGUAGCCGGCCUGAGAGGGUGACCGGCCACAUUGGGACUGAGAUACGGCCCAGACUCCUACGGGAGGCAGCAGUGGGGAAUAUUGCACAAUGGGCGGAAGCCUGAUGCAGCAACGCCGCGUGCGGGGUGACGGCCUUCGGGUUGUAAACCGCUUUCGCCUGUGACGAAGCGUGAGUGACGGUAAUGGGUAAAGAAGCACCGGCUAACUACGUG
This 468-nucleotide ribosomal RNA is filed under the name uncultured bacterium. RNAcentral describes it as "partial 16S ribosomal RNA". It matches the Rfam family "Bacterial small subunit ribosomal RNA", at positions 28 to 507 of the family's 1533-position model. The record is from RNAcentral.